This 89-nucleotide transfer RNA is filed under the name Dreissena polymorpha. It matches the Rfam family "tRNA". From Rfam's summary of the family: Transfer RNA (tRNA) molecules are approximately 80 nucleotides in length. Their secondary structure includes four short double-helical elements and three loops (D, anti-codon, and T loops). Further hydrogen bonds mediate the characteristic L-shaped molecular structure. tRNAs have two regions of fundamental functional importance: the anti-codon, which is responsible for specific mRNA codon recognition, and the 3' end, to which the tRNAs corresponding amino acid is attached (by aminoacyl-tRNA synthetases). tRNAs cope with the degeneracy of the genetic code in two manners: having more than one tRNA (with a specific anti-codon) for a particular amino acid; and 'wobble' base-pairing, i.e. permitting non-standard base-pairing at the 3rd anti-codon position. The record is from Rfam by way of RNAcentral. Lineage: Eukaryota; Metazoa; Mollusca; Bivalvia; Myida; Dreissenidae.
GCCGAAAUAGCUCAGUUGGGAGAGCGCUAGACUGAAGUUGUUGACGCACCAAUCAUUUAAAGGCUCCGGUUCAAUCCCGGGUUCCGGCA